This 168-nucleotide small RNA is filed under the name Secundilactobacillus oryzae. Its description in RNAcentral is "Lactobacillus oryzae Magnesium sequence". It matches the Rfam family "M-box riboswitch aptamer (ykoK leader)". From Rfam's summary of the family: M-box riboswitch, also know as ykoK leader is described as a metaloregulatory RNA that sense divalent metals and function as a genetic control element of genes related to divalent metal transport in bacteria. Lineage: Bacteria; Bacillati; Bacillota; Bacilli; Lactobacillales; Lactobacillaceae. The record is from RNAcentral.
AUAGAAAGCCGUUAGGUGAGGCUCCUAUAUGGAAAAUGCUACUGCUCAGAAACGUCGAAAAACGCCAAUGAGUCAGCCGUCCUAGUUAAAAUAAGGCUUGGACUAACGUAGCUGUUACUAACACUAACUACGCCAUAUAGUGCUAAAACUCAACGAUUGGCAAUAAGA